GAAAACUCUGAGUGGUGUUGUGAGGACACUGAAAGAACAAAAAACCUUCAGAGGAAGUGAGGAAGUGAGGCGAUCCCAAGAGCAGCACGUGAGUGGGGAGUUCUUCGGUGCCUGCGCUCCCUCUGAGGUCUUCAAAGCGGACACAAGCAACCUACAAGGCCCAGAAUAGAGACAGGAGGCUUCCCACCGAGGGGCGACCUGAGUUACACCUUGAAAAGUGCUUAGGACUCUGUCAGUCAAUCCCCACAAGGAACCAGGUGGUCAUGGGCAAGCGAAGAGAUCAGAGAAGACGCUGCAGGCACCACCACACUCAUUCCUUGAAAUAAUUGAAACACCUAUGUACAACGUACAAAGUCAUUCAUGAUCUGACCUGCUUACCAUUCAGACCCAAAUCUCACUGCUCCUCGCUGAAGUUCGAUGUUCCAGCCAUGUUCACGUGCCCAGGGCUCCCAGGACAAUACUAGUAAAUGCAACCACAACAACCAACAUUUGGAAUGACUCCAUCUUGGACUCCAGGACAGACCUUCCUGAAC
RNAcentral lists this long non-coding RNA (533 nucleotides) under Heterocephalus glaber (naked mole-rat). RNAcentral's name for it is "lncRNA (ENSHGLG00000036365.1)". The record is from RNAcentral. Lineage: Eukaryota; Metazoa; Chordata; Mammalia; Rodentia; Bathyergidae.